GAUGAACGCUAGCGGCAGGCUUAAUACAUGCAAGUCGAGGGGCAGCAUGAGUAGCAAUACUUGAUGGCGACCGGCAAACGGGUGCGGAACACGUACGCAACCUUCCCAAAACUGGUGAAUAGCCUUUCGAAAGAGAGAUUAAUACACCGUAACAUAAUGAAGUGGCAUCACUUUAUUAUUAUAGCUCCGGCGGUUUUGGAUGGGCGUGCGCCUGAUUAGGUAGUUGGCGGGGUAACGGCCCACCAAGCCUACGAUCAGUAACUGGUGUGAGAGCACGACCAGUCACACGGGCACUGAGACACGGGCCCGACUCCUACGGGAGGCAGCAGUAAGGAAUAUUGGUCAAUGGACGAAAGUCUGAACCAGCCAUGCCGCGUGAAGGAUUAAGGCCCUCUGGGUUGUAAACUUCUUUUAUAGGGGACGAAAAAAGGGAAUUCUUUCCCACUUGACGGUACCCUAGGAAUAAGCACCGGCUAACUCCGUGCCAGCCGCCGCCGUAA
RNAcentral lists this ribosomal RNA (500 nucleotides) under uncultured bacterium. RNAcentral's name for it is "partial 16S ribosomal RNA". It matches the Rfam family "Bacterial small subunit ribosomal RNA", at positions 28 to 523 of the family's 1533-position model. The record is from RNAcentral.